Molecule: unclassified non-coding RNA, 4252 nt
Filed under: Hevea brasiliensis (rubber tree)
Lineage: Eukaryota; Viridiplantae; Streptophyta; Magnoliopsida; Malpighiales; Euphorbiaceae
Source: RNAcentral
UUUUUUUUUUUCUGAUCUCCUGGAAGGGACAAAAGAAACCAUCUUGUUCUUUCAACAAUCUCUAAUCUCUAGUGGACGUCUCAUUAGGAUUCAAACGUAGAUGAAGUUCUAACAAUCUUUGAAAAUGCACAAAACAUUGCAACUAUGGUGUGUACAUGAUACCAUUUUCACAAGUAAAUAGGUAUAGGAAGCCCCAUUGACCUUAGACUACAUAAUGGGGAUGAAUCCCAUAAAAUUUCCCACGUCUUGACAAGACCAGAAAGAAUUAAAUGAGCAAAUGUUUCACUGUUUUCAUACCAUUAACAAAAACUGAGUAAGAAAAACAAGGUGUCAUGCCAAGGGCUCAGAAAACUAGCAACAACCUAGCCAUUGGCAGAUCGGUAUGAAAGAAUACUGUAAUACUUCAAGUUUGAGGAGGAUACAGUUCCCAGAGUGCUACAGUAGUGUCUUCUGACGCAGAGGCCAUAAGCUUACAAUCAGAUGAAUAUGAGACAGCAUUACACUGCAACAAUUGCAAAUAUAUAUAAGUAAUACCAAUAAGCUUUUCAAUAGAUUAACAAUUAAAACCAUAGAAAAACAGAUGGGUUGGGGGGAGGAAGAGAGAGAGUCAGACACUCAGAACCAAGUUAAAAAGUUUAGAACCUUCUUCAAGAUAAGGAACUUGGCAUCUUGGUGACAAAUAUAAAAUGAAUCAAAUUUUUUACACUUAAAAUUUUUUUCCUCUUUAAUUUUUUUAUACUUCUUGUUCCAAGUCAGUAAUAUGACUGGAGGCUCAAAUCAAAGCAAUCCUGAAGUUCAUAUAAUUAAUUUUUAAAAAAGAAAAAUGAAUUAGCUAAAAUUGAAAAAAGACCAAAAUUCCUUUUCUUUUGGCAAUUAAGCCUUUUUUUUUUGUUAACAUAGAUGAAGAAAUAAAGCAUUCAGAGUGAUAAAUAAUUCUAAUGAGUGGUAAAGCAUUCAGAGAGAUAAAUAAUUCUAAAGAGUAGUAAAGAACUUUAUUCUUUAACUAGGCUAAGGGAUCAUAAGAUACCGUGGCAUGGUGAUACUUCAAUAUUGCCAAAGCAUUUCCUUUGCGAUAAUUAUAUAUCCUCACUCUGUCAUCAAAGGAAAUAAACAUAUGAAAUAACCAUGAUCCUGCAUAAUUCAAAGUUGGGGGAAAGCUUUUUCUAUAAUUAAAAGGGAAUGUCAUCUAAUUUUGGUUUCCAAAUUUGUUCACAUUUGAAUAAUCCCACAGUUUGUGCUAGAUGAUUACUUUUCACAAUGGAAGUCUUUUCUGUUCUAAAUAUUCAAAUUUAAAAGCUGAAAUGUGUACCAUUAACUAGUCAAAAGCCAAUGGCCACAAUUCUAUCAAUAAGGUCAUAGAAUGUUGAUAAAGAAAAUUCCAAAAAAAAAAAUCCAUAAAAUGAGUAUCAAAGGAAUAAGUAUAUAAGGAGAAACGUGUGCUAAUGUAUAAAAGGAUAAAAUGAACACAUUUGGCUGAAAGGAAAAAUGUAGCACCAACCGAUAAGCUUAGGGAAGCCCUUAAGAUAGGUUUACUACAUACAAUAGUGAGAAGAGUUGUUGCAUUCAAGUAAAUGAAUGAAGAGGAUGAAAAGUAAACAAGUGAUUUAAGUGGAAUUUCAAGUAGGAAUAGAUUCUCUACAUUUCAGAAAGAAUAUGGCUCUAGUAAAGGAUGUGGAGCAAAGAGAUAUAUAGAAACUUCUAGAUGAACCAAACCAAACUGAAAGUUUGGUUGAAUUAAGGUCACCCUUCUUUUUGUUCCAUGUGAGAAUUAUUUUCGUCUUUUUGUUGGCAGUGAACCUUGAAGAUGUGUUGCAAUGGAGCACAUUUGCAUGGUGAAUAAUGGGAAAUAGAAGUGGCUGUACACAUAGGGGAAGAAAAGAAGGCAUUACUUGAUAAGCCCUUUGGAGUUUUAUUCAAGUAUAUAUCUUCUCUUCUUCUCUCUAUCUCUCUUUAAACUGACCUGAGAUGUUAUUCUUUAAGUAUUCAGAACAAUCUCUGCCAGAUUUUGACAUAGGUAACUUUGGAACUUGAGAAAAUUAACAUCUCAUAACCAUUUACCUCCAAAAGCAUCUCAAAAUGAAUUCUUUUAGAAUGCAAAAUAGAUGAAUUUGAACAAAAUCAUUAGUCAGAUAUCAAAACAAAGGAUUUUUCCCAUAAGCAAGGAGAUCGAGUUUAAUAACCUGAAAUCAAACUAAAUAAUAUCCAAGCUUUCUCUACAACAACCACAGCUAUGACGAUAUAUCCAUUAAAUUAAGACUAUAAUUGUUUAUGAACUCUCACAAAACUGCCAAAUAGAAGGUUUACAAACUGGUUAUACUAACCUGUGAUCCCACCCAGCAGUUGCAGCAAUUUUGCCAUCUGCUCGGAUUGAUGUGCCUGAUAUACCAGGCCGUUCCAAGAUAAUCUCUUUCUUGAUCACACAAGAAGCCUAUUGUCACAGUAAAGGUAGGAUGAACUCAAAAUAAUGAUACCUCCAAUAGUGAGCAGAAAUCAGCAACUCAAGCUGCUGCAUUUAAGUAAAUAAUACUAGGGAAGAAAAAAAAUAAUUUCCCUCUCACGUUUACACCAAUAUCAAUGAGCAAGAGGCAUAAACAGCAUAGAGAGAAGGGGAAGGGGAAGGAAGGGAGGCGGGAGAGGGGGGGGCCGCGCCGGCGGCUGGGAAGGGAGGAAUAAGGGAAAGAAAGCCCAUCAUUUUGUUUGAAAGUAGAUCUCACAAACUGCCCACAUUCUGAUAAGCCACACCAAAAUAAGUGAAAAUUAUGACCGGCACACAGCCAUAAAAUCUUGGAGUAAGUUAGCAAAUCAAAAUAAAAUUACACUAGGCAGUUAAAACUAAGUGUUAACAGAAAGGUCACAUAUAAUUGCUAUCCAACUCAUCCUCAACUUCAACAUGCAACUAACUAGCAAAUAAAAUAGGAAUAUACAAAUUAACAAGAGGUGUGAAUUACUGUAGAAAGAUCCAAACUAAAUAAACCAAUUUUAUCAUCAGCUGCCCCAGAGAUACCGCCCUUACACAGCCCAUCAAUGCAUAGGCUAAGAACUGGCUCUGUGUGAAACUUAACGGAAGUUAGAGGAACACCUGGGUUUCGCAUGUCCCACCAAAGCAUAGAACCAUCCUCAUAACUGCCACAUGUGGGAAAAGGAAACAGAAUCACAGCACGCCAGCCAAGACAUAUACGAAUCCUUGUGAUUCUGUUGGUAGAUAUCCUUGAACAGCCAUGCACAUCCCUCUUUUGUCGGUAGAAAUACUUGGUGAGCCACCAAAGCAGCUAUGAGAUAACCGAGAAAUCCUUUCUGCAGUGUUAAGAUCCCAUAUCUCAACCUCAGAAGACUGCUCCCCUGCUAUAGCAACAAACUUUGGUCCAUCAAUACUAUCUUCUGAAAUUAUAUUAAUUUGUUAAUGCUUAUGCUUAGCAUCAAUAAAGACAAGUAAUAACAAAAUCCACCAUAGAGGUGAAGAAAAACAAUUGCAGCAAGGAAAAGGUACUGACAUUGUUUCAUUUUAUAAUGGCAGACGCCUCUACGUAAAAUUUUAAACAUAAGAGUGACACGUAUAACAUUAAAAUUCUGGCCAUUAAAAGUUAAAUUAAGCUAGGAAAGAAAGUUCUCAGUUUAGUUGAUCCAACCCUGAUGAAAUACCUUCUUGUCUUCAAAGAACAAUAUUGUUUCACAGUCAACUCCAUCCAACAGAAAAAACAUUUGAACUAUUUUGUCCCAGAAAUUAACGUUUUAAAGUUUAGACUAGAUUGCAUAUUCUAGGAUGGCAUAAAUGAUAUUUUAACUCAUAGCAAGCACCAUACCGAUCACACCCUAACCCUUUAGCUCAUUUUUCUCAGUUUUCUCAAAUACAAGACUAGCUUUUCUCCCACAUUGUUGAAUAAUAAAUUUAUCACCAAAAUCAUUUUUUUCCAUUCUUUUUAUGUAAUGAGUAAUAUAGUAGUUGGUUAUCAUGAAUAUAGAAUUCAAAGACAAGCAUUUGGCACUAGUACCAUAUUCAUGAGGCUUCACAGACUAGGUUGUUAGCAUUUUCCUUUUAAUUCAACCAUUAAUGACAUAAAAAAUCUCUUUAUUACUGGGAAAAAAAAAUCUCAAAAAAUAACAUUAUUUGCCAUUAAAUAGUGUCUAGUCAAUAAGAAUUAAACUUUGCUAAUUUAGGCCAAAAUUGCAAUGGUUAUUAUCAAGAUAAAUAUAAAUGAGAAAAUAGGAAUUCUCAUGGCAUACCAUUUUAUUCAAAGUAGGAGUCAAUAUUAGC